Cercocebus atys (sooty mangabey) is the source of this 118-nucleotide small nuclear RNA. Lineage: Eukaryota; Metazoa; Chordata; Mammalia; Primates; Cercopithecidae. The record is from Ensembl.
GUUUUGUGUGACAGGUGAGAAGGUUAGCACUCCACUUGACAAGGAUGGAGAGUCCCUUUGGGCCUGACAACACACAUACAAGGCAUUGCCAUCUACCACGUAGCAUCUAACUUUAUAA